UGUACACGUUUUAGUUUGGGUUUUACUACGGCCUCGAAACGAUUCCACAUAUUGAUAUAAAUAGGUAUAAUGACCUCCUGCUUUCUCAUAUUCCAAAUAUGGAUACAUAUACGUCAUUGGAAUGUUUCGAGGUGGUGGAUCUAGGAGCCAUUAGAUACAUUAUUCUGGUAUGAAUGGGGAGAAGAACGCCCGUUUAUACGGUGAAUGCUGAUGAGCAAGGCUCUAAGCGAAGAGAGUAUCAGUUGAGAGGGUUCGGACUCUUGCAAGGCCACAUUCCAAUCUGGCAUACAGCAUCCUUGGGAUUCUCAAAUAACACAAAAUCAAUCCGGUGACAGGCUCGACUCUGACUACACACGUCUAUACUUUGAGAAGUGAGAAUGGAGAGGAGAUUGAUUAAGCUGAUGUAUUGUAUAUAUACAGCUACUUCACGGGAAAUGUGGUCCUCUGGUUGCUCGAAUAGCGCAGAAGGAUGGCGUCUGUGUGGACUUCAUAUCCAGGAUUUGCAUCGGAUAAUCCGAAGCUUCUUCCACUUAUGUACAUCGAUUAUUAACGAUGCAAGCCGAAUUUCUGCAAAACGUGAGUCCCAAACUUCGAUUCGUUUGAAACAGAGAUGAAAUAGCAAACGCCUGCUAUUUUGUAGUGACUUUUGUUGCUUACUUCUAAUACAGUGCACGAUAAAUACACGCUUGAAAUCUGAUCUCUUCUCUGGGACCGCAAGCACUUU
Drosophila pseudoobscura is the source of this 724-nucleotide long non-coding RNA. RefSeq lists it as uncharacterized. The record is from RefSeq and is a predicted model, not a curated record. NCBI's taxonomy places the organism in Eukaryota, Metazoa, Arthropoda, Insecta, Diptera, Drosophilidae. The transcript has 2 exons.